This is an RNA transcript of Cotesia glomerata, 1653 nucleotides long. RefSeq lists it as uncharacterized. The record is from RefSeq and is a predicted model, not a curated record. The transcript has 8 exons. NCBI's taxonomy places the organism in Eukaryota, Metazoa, Arthropoda, Insecta, Hymenoptera, Braconidae.
AUAGCCGGCUUUCUCAUUUUUAACCUAAAAAUUAGAAUAGAUGUUUUUGUUCUGCAAAGUGCUCUGAGAAACAGGAAGAUGACAAUUUUAGUGCACGCAAAGUAACAUUAAAUGACAAAUGAUUGACUAUGUAAUUAUUUUAUCCAAUUGCGAAUGUCGAUAUAGCGUAAAAGUGCGGUCCUUCUAAAAUAAAAAGUAUCUGGAGUUAAAGCUACUGUGGAUAUAUCGUAUAGUAGAGGUGGUGGUUAAAGACUCCUCCUGCUAAUAAAAGCCGCUCACUAGGCGCCUUCACAUACAAACAGUCACAGACAGCCAGAGCACGUGAGCUUCAUUACACUAACUGUUAAUUAAUUAACUAUUUAUUUAUUUAUAAAAUUAACCAAAAAUUAUUAACAGAAUAUUCGGCAAUUUCUAAAUUAUAAUUCAUAAAAAUUAUUUUAAAUUGGCUAAUUUAUCUCGAAAUUUAAAUACCAGUGAGUGAAUAUCAGUGAGUGGCCAUGAGGCUGUUAAUGCUAAUUCCGUGUCUAAUUGUUGCGGUUAAUUGCCACCCUUUGGCGCAGGAUGAGUACAACUCCCAGGCAUCUGGUUUGGCGCUGAUCGAGGAGAACAAUGAUGCUGCGUUGAGGAGUAAGAGAACUGUUGGUGUUCUGAGACAGUUUUUCCCCGAAAUUACUGAGAUGAUUGAUAAUAUAGUCAACAAGAUAGUCUCCGAGGUGAUAAAAGUAGUGGGUCCAACCGUAAUACAGGACGUACUUGGCGGAAACCGAAGACAAAAUAACGGAAAUUCAAAAACAGAAAGCGAAGGCAGUGAAGUAACAAUAGAAGUGCCAGCCGAUUUCUUCGGAGACUCCGAAAGCGAUUCUGACGUAGCGGACAUUAAUAACAAGGAUAAUUUUGGUAAAGUUAAUAUCCCGUUGCCGACCUUCGAGACCACCCAAGUUACCGGCAAGGGAAUCGGUAACGUGGAGGAAGGACUUACCACUGAAGAACCGACGGGUACUCCAUCAGGAUAUGGAUAUAGCCGAGUCAGAGAACAAGGAAGUAAGAGUAGCGUUCGACGAUUCAGAUCUCGCGACAAACGAAGCUGGAGCGGAUCUCACCUCUCUGGACGAUAUCGAAAUCGGAGACGACGAGAAUCGAAACAAAAGAUUUAGUGGCGGAAAUGGAGAGUCUGGAGGCAGUAGCGGGGGAUCUGGAAAUUUUAUUUUUGAUAUUAUUAGAUUGAUCGCAGGCAGUGGGUCAUCAUCACCACCAAGUGAAGAUCAUACCCAUGGAAAACACGAACCCGAUGAAGCAGUUCCCGGACCAGCGACACGAUUUUUAGUGAUCGCAAACCGAGGGAUUGCAAAUCUGAUCCAAGAUCUUAUUCUUCGCAUUGCGGCUACGAGCGAGCGAUUCGUCAACUUCAAAGCGCGACUGAUUACUUCGAUUAUCUGAGGAAGUCUAGGAGCUGUUGUUAGACAGCUAAACCGGAUUAAAAAUAGAUAAUAUUUUUUUACUGAUGGAUCCACUGUCAGAUCGCAGGUACGACGUUGACUGCUCCUCCUCGUCCCUUGUUCCUGGGAUCUCCUGCUGUCUUAGUCCAUCGCUUAUGAAUAAAUACAAUUGAUUAGCUUAAUAAAUGAUGAUUAAAUGCCUGCCAUUUUUUAUACG